Molecule: transfer RNA, 76 nt
Filed under: Mycobacterium koreense
Lineage: Bacteria; Bacillati; Actinomycetota; Actinomycetes; Mycobacteriales; Mycobacteriaceae
Description: Mycolicibacillus koreensis tRNA-Asn
Rfam family: tRNA
About the family: Transfer RNA (tRNA) molecules are approximately 80 nucleotides in length. Their secondary structure includes four short double-helical elements and three loops (D, anti-codon, and T loops). Further hydrogen bonds mediate the characteristic L-shaped molecular structure. tRNAs have two regions of fundamental functional importance: the anti-codon, which is responsible for specific mRNA codon recognition, and the 3' end, to which the tRNAs corresponding amino acid is attached (by aminoacyl-tRNA synthetases). tRNAs cope with the degeneracy of the genetic code in two manners: having more than one tRNA (with a specific anti-codon) for a particular amino acid; and 'wobble' base-pairing, i.e. permitting non-standard base-pairing at the 3rd anti-codon position.
Source: RNAcentral
UGCCCUGUAGCUCAAUCGGCAGAGCAGCGGAUUGUUAAUCCGCAGGUUGCAGGUUCGAUUCCUGCCAGGGUAGCCA